UUCAUUUAUUCUUAAUGAAAGUACAUUACAUAGUCCGUUUUAGGGAUUGGCUACUUACCCAUUCAGUGACUUUGGCACUGGACGUUCAAAAAAU
Cucurbita maxima (winter squash) is the source of this 94-nucleotide long non-coding RNA. RefSeq lists it as uncharacterized. The record is from RefSeq and is a predicted model, not a curated record. NCBI's taxonomy places the organism in Eukaryota, Viridiplantae, Streptophyta, Magnoliopsida, Cucurbitales, Cucurbitaceae. The transcript is spliced from 3 exons.